CAGGCCUAACACAUGCAAGUCGAGCGGGCCCUUCGGGGUCAGCGGCGGACGGGUGAGUAACGCGUGGGAACGUGCCUUCUGGUCUGGAAUAACCCUGGGAAACUAGGGCUAAUACCGGAUACGCCCUUUUGGGGAAAGGUUUACUGCCGGAAGAUCGGCCCGCGUCUGAUUAGCUAGUUGGUGGGGUAACGGCCUACCAAGGCGACGAUCAGUAGCUGGUCUGAGAGGAUGAUCAGCCACACUGGGACUGAGACACGGCCCAGACUCCUACGGGAGGCAGCAGUGGGGAAUAUUGGACAAUGGGCGCAAGCCUGAUCCAGCCAUGCCGCGUGAGUGAUGAAGGCCCUAGGGUUGUAAAGCUCUUUUACCCGGGAUGAUAAUGACAGUACCGGGAGAAUAAGCUCCGGCUAACUCCGUGCCAGCAGCCGCGGUAAU
Molecule: ribosomal RNA, 435 nt
Filed under: uncultured bacterium
Lineage: Bacteria
Description: bacterial SSU rRNA
Rfam family: Bacterial small subunit ribosomal RNA
Source: RNAcentral